Long non-coding RNA from Strongylocentrotus purpuratus (purple sea urchin), 747 nucleotides. RefSeq lists it as uncharacterized. NCBI's taxonomy places the organism in Eukaryota, Metazoa, Echinodermata, Echinoidea, Camarodonta, Strongylocentrotidae. The record is from RefSeq and is a predicted model, not a curated record. The transcript is spliced from 2 exons.
AGCGUAUGGCAACUAUACAAAAAGAAGGAUCGACUUUGUGGCGGACCUAAUAAAGAAAUGGCGGCGUAAACGAGAAAACGUUUGAGCAGUUGAUGAUACGACCGUUCGUUUGGGACCAGACAAUACUUUAAGCGUUCUGUGGUGAAAAUUCCUCCGGCUGAUUUUGUUUUCUUCUUGUUUUCAAUAUUAACAGAAUUCUAGUAACUCCUUUUCAUAUAUUGUACUAUGUUAAUGCACAUACAGAGGUAGACAAGUGAAAUCCAGUAAUCAGCUUAAACAGCUGAACUGUGACAUUUAUAUCCAAAUUAGACUGGUAUAAUUUAUUUAAAUAUAUUAGUGCGUACGCACAUAGUUUAAGACUGGAGCAUGGAGUACGGUCGUGUAGAAUAUUUUUUUGUUUUCAAGUGAUGUUCACUUCAACAACAUUACAGAACAUGUUGUUGUGGGACUGCUAAGUACGUGGCAUUUUAUGGGAGGUUAGCCUAAGCAUUCCUCAAAUGCUUGGAAGCUAUUUUUGUCAACAUUUUUUUCACUGGUUUACAAGAUUUAUUGUAUAAAUGUGAUAUGUUUCCCCCAAUGACUACGUGCGUUGUAGUAUUGCAUUAAGGCCAAUGUAGUGUUCGUGCGUUAGAUCUUUUGUACACAAAUAAGCGGGAGAUACCAAUUUUGCUGUCUGCUCAAAGGGUAUAAAUAGGGUUUCCUUUCGCAAACAAAUUAGUUGGUUUAUGGUCAGCUCUAUCUUUACUG